UGAGGAAUAUUGCUCAAUGGGCGCAAGCCUGAAGCAGCGACGCCGCGUGGACGAUGAAGGUCUUCGGAUCGUAAAGUCCUUUUCUGUGUGACGAGGAAGGACGGUAGCACAGGAAUAAGUGUCGGCUAACUACGUGCCAGCAGCCGCGGUAACACGUAGGACGCAAGCGUUAUCCGGAAUUACUGGGCGUAAAGAGCGUGUAGGCGGUGCUGUAAGUCAACCGUGAAAGCUCCCGGCUAAACUGGGAGAGGUCGGAUGAGACUGCAGCGCUAGUGGGUCGUAGAGGAAUGUGGAAUUCCGGGUGUAGUGGUGAAAUGCGUAGAGAUCCGGAGGAACACCAGAGGCGAAGGCGGCAUUCUGGACGACAUCAGACGCUGAGACGCGACAGCACGGGGAGCGAACGGG
RNAcentral lists this ribosomal RNA (405 nucleotides) under uncultured bacterium. RNAcentral describes it as "bacterial SSU rRNA". It matches the Rfam family "Bacterial small subunit ribosomal RNA", at positions 355 to 776 of the family's 1533-position model. The record is from RNAcentral.